Molecule: ribosomal RNA, 422 nt
Filed under: Fissidens taxifolius
Lineage: Eukaryota; Viridiplantae; Streptophyta; Bryopsida; Dicranales; Fissidentaceae
Description: eukaryotic LSU rRNA
Rfam family: 5.8S ribosomal RNA (bases 1-89)
Source: RNAcentral
GUGUGAAUUGCAGAAUUCCGCGAAUCAUCGAGUCUUUGAACGCAAGUUGCGCCCGAGGCUUGACCAAGGGCAUCUCUGCCAGAGCGUCACCGCGACACCCACCAGUCCACUCUGAAAGGAAAUGGGACUGAGUGAAAGUGGCCGUCCGAAUGGGGGCCACCCGAAUGAGUGAAUGGGGACAACUUAGCCGUUGUUCUCAAUCAAUUAGCUGGGUGGCCAGAUUGGGUUGGCUGAAAUGGAGGGAAUUUGGCCGCCGUGGUGACACAGCCCGCGAUCAGGUGAUUGGAGCAAGUCCAACAUGUGUGGUGCUGUGUCUCCCAGUUGUGCAAGGGUUCCAAAGCAGGUCUCUCCCGAAGGUCACUUCGGGAGAAAAACGUCCCGCAUCAGACCUCUGAUCAGAGAAGACUACCCGCUGAGUUUAA